AUUGAACGCUGGCGGCAGGCUUAACACAUGCAAGUCGAGCGGGGGAAGGUAGCUUGCUACCGGACCUAGCGGCGGACGGGUGAGUAAUGCUUAGGAAUCUGCCUCUUAGUGGGGGACAACCUCUCGAUAGGGAUGCUAAUACCGCAUACGUCCUAGGGGAGAAAGCAGGGGAUCUUCGGACCUUGCGCGAAUAGAUGAGUCUAAGUCGGAUUAGCUAGUUGGUGGGGUACAGACCUACCAAGGCGACGAUCUGAAGCGGGUCUGAGAGGAUGAUACGCCACACUGGGACUGCGACACGGCCCAGACUCCUACGGGAGGCAGCAUUGGGGAAUAUUGGACAAUGGGGGGAACCCUGAUCCAGCCAUGCCGCGUGUGUGAAGAAGGCCUUAUGGUUGUAAAGCACUUUAAGCGAGGAGGAGGCUACUUUAGUUAAUACCUAGAGAUAGUGGACGUUACUCGCAGAAUAAGCACCGGCUAACUCUGUGCCAGCAGCCGCUGUAA
RNAcentral lists this ribosomal RNA (501 nucleotides) under uncultured bacterium. Its description in RNAcentral is "partial 16S ribosomal RNA". It matches the Rfam family "Bacterial small subunit ribosomal RNA", at positions 30 to 523 of the family's 1533-position model. The record is from RNAcentral.